Molecule: ribosomal RNA, 328 nt
Filed under: uncultured eukaryote
Lineage: Eukaryota
Description: partial 18S ribosomal RNA
Rfam family: Eukaryotic small subunit ribosomal RNA
Source: RNAcentral
CCCUUAGAUGUUCUGGGCCGCACGCGCGCUACACUGAUGAAAGCAACAAGUUUAUAACCUGCAUCGAAAGGUGUGGGUAAUCUUGCAAAUUUCAUCGUGAUGGGGAUAGAUUAUUGCAACUUUUAAUCUUCAACGAGGAAUUCCUAGUAAGCGUGAGUCAUCAGCUCGCGUUGAUUACGUCCCUGCCCUUUGUACACACCGCCCGUCGCUCCUACCGAUUGAAUGGUCCGGUGAAAUCUUCGGACCGCGAUGUUUACCUGGUUCUCUGGGCUAACGUUGUGGGAAGUUGCUUGAACCUUAUCAUUUAGAGGAAGGAGAAGUCGUAACA